UUUCCUUAAGCAAUUCUUUCAGAAAAGUUGGAAAAAAUAGUUUUGCAAAAUCAUCUUCUUGAAGGUGAUUCUGUCUCAGUAUUGUCUCAAGACUAGGUGACUUGCAAAUGAAAUGAGUAGCUAUGCUUCACUUUCUCCCCGAGGAGAUGUGUGUAUCACACAGCCUUCAGCCCCAGUGUAUACCAGCUGACAGUCCACUUGCUGGCCUUCUCCUCCAGAGAGGUGAAGGAAUAAAGUGUGCAUGGAGGUUGGAUUCCCUUCUCAGCUAGUGGCAAUAUCAGGUCGGUGUUGAAGCACGUUACUAGGGAUUUUGUUACAAACUUUGCUGCAAAGAACUAUUUUUUUUAACUAAAAAAUAAAGAUCUCAAUUUUUUGAGUAGUGGAACUAAAUGGUUUAUUAACACUAUGCUUGUAUUUUACAGGGAAAAGUAAAAUUAUAAAUAAUUUCUACUAAUGACAUGCAUUUGCAUGGAAAUGUUAGAAAAAUAGGAUUGCUACCCGGUGCUGUUAAGUAUUCACAACAAACAAGAAUUUAUCAGCAUUUGGCUCAAAGAUACUUGAUUUUAAUAAAAUUGGGGAUUUUAGAUGGUCCUGUUUGGUUUGUUUUUUCUUUUCAUCAUUUCUGUAACAGAUUUAUUUGGAGGUUUAUAGUUCUACAUGGGAAUCUCAAAAAAUAAUGUUGGUAGCUGGAGCAUGAGCAAGAUUUUUGUGGAUUGUGUAUAUGAGAAAUUACCUUCCUUUGGCCAACAUUCAUGUCAGUAUUGAAGGAGAGUUAAUACAGUAUAAUGCAUUUAAAACUUUAAAAGAGCAUCGAACAUUUAAUGUACAAUACUUUAUUCAAACUCUGCCAGAAGUUAGUAUGACAUCAGUCUUGUAGCAGCUGCUAAAAGUUCACUUCUGCUUCAUACAAGAUUUUUUUACUGUCUUAAAUACAUCGGCCAUUUACCUUUCUCAUGCAUGCAAAGCUUCCAGUGAAACCAAUGGGAGCUUUACCUUCAGAAAAACCAAAAUACCACCACAGUGGCUGCUGUAAUUUGGGGGGUUACUCUGUGGAUGCUGUAGCAAAAGCAUUGCUGGUAAUGGCUGACAGUUACAUUCUGUGAAGUAUACUGUGCAAGAUUACUGAUUGGAGCUGUAUGAAAACACAUCCUCCUUGGAACAUAAAGACGAUUAAUGACUGCAUGGGACAAUUAAAUGCUCUGUGGUGAGCAUGAAUCAGGAGGAUCCUGCUACAAGUUCACAGGUGGUCCAGGAAAUGAAGUGCUCUCUAUACAGAUGAGUGUUUGUGUGAAAAAAUACAGUGUUCUUCCUGCUGCUGGCAGCAAUUACUGUCUUAAGCAUCUAGAAGAAUAGAAACCAGCAUUUUUUACCCAUCUUAUCUUUGAUUUUGGAUGAUCAAGAGAGAAGGAGAAAUGUUUUGAAUUAAUAUUUUUUACGUGAGAAUUUGCUUCUCAGAAUGUUGUAUUAUUACUUACUAAUCAAUAAAGAUAUUUUAAAAUAAAAAAA
Molecule: long non-coding RNA, 1506 nt
Organism: Falco peregrinus (peregrine falcon)
Lineage: Eukaryota; Metazoa; Chordata; Aves; Falconiformes; Falconidae
Exons: 2
Source: RefSeq, a predicted model, not a curated record